This 65-nucleotide microRNA precursor is filed under the name Medicago truncatula (barrel medic). RNAcentral describes it as "MIR2629 microRNA precursor family". It matches the Rfam family "MIR2629 microRNA precursor family". The record is from Rfam by way of RNAcentral. Lineage: Eukaryota; Viridiplantae; Streptophyta; Magnoliopsida; Fabales; Fabaceae.
AGGUUUGAAAUUCUUCGGCAGUUAACUGCCGAAGUUUUCCUCGGCAGUUAACUACCGAAGGGCAU